AGGUGUUACGUCGUGACGGAGUCGUCUGCCUCACGGCUGCGUCCUCACGAGGAAGGAGAGGGGCUGGAUUUAGGAGAGCCAUUUAUUCCUAACCUGGACCAGGCAGAAGUUUUAACCUGCGUUUUGCAAGCAGCUGGGAAAGAAAACACAGGGAAGAAACACCACAAAGAUAUCUAGGGGAAGCAAAGGGCUCUCACGCUGACCUAUAGAACAAUAGGAGCCAAGAGAAUGUAUAGACGGGGAGAUGGCACCGUGCGGGAUUUCAAGGCCGUUACUGCUGUAAAGCAGAGCAGCUUGGAAAAUAAACAGCAAAUUCCAGCAAGUUUCUCUUCCUCCCCACUAUAUUUUGUGCCAUCCCUACCUAUCUCCUCGUCUCCAGGAAUUAACUGUUUAGGAGGUGAGCAGCCGACGCAGGCAUCCUACCAGAGUGACACGGCCUGGCUGGCGCACAGUGAUGCUGAUGCCUCCCACAGAAGCCAUCCUUAAUUCUCAGAACAGAGAGACAUUGCCACGGGCUGGGAAUUUUAACUGAGAGAAAUAACUAAAUGAAUGUGGCAGGGCCUUAAUUCAGGGACCAGUGGAUGCAAAGUUUCCCCUCCUAGGGAUGGUGAGUUAAUGGGAUUUGUUACUCCUGGCUAGGGUGCAAGGGGGGUUAAUCCCUUCCUUCGUGUAUAUCCCCAUUAAGCUGGUUUAGGUCAUGUUUAGAGUUAAAGUUUUUCAGUACAGACUCUGUCCAUCUCUGCAGUGCUGGGCAUGGGGCUAAACCCAGCCAGGUGCUGCCAGCUCUAGCCCCGCGAUUGUCACCCCCUUGCACCUCCCACCACCCAGAAACUCAGGUGAGCCCCAGACAAAGCAAAAGGAGGUUUAGCUUUCAUUAAAGUGGUGAGAAAGCUCAUAAAGGCUUUUGGAAAGCCAUCAUCACUCCGGGAAAGCUCCCACCGAGGCCCAGAGCCUAUUGUUUGUUGCAAUGUGAUUUAUCGUGGAAUGGGUAAGGUGGAAAAGGGACCUUUUCCCCUUUGAUUAGGUGCUCAGCACCUGCCCAGUGGGAUCUAUUCCCCUGAAGUCACCCCUGCUGUUGGCUCCCCAUAUCAUUAAGCUGAACAUGAGGCUGUACCUUUGAGGUUAUUUCCUUAAGCCCAUCAUCUUUUAGGAGCCAUCCAUCCUGCAAAGCGUUAAAUAACCUCACCUGACCUCCUCCAGCAAGGCAAAGCUCUGCAUCCUUAGUUAGGGGCAUAGAUCACCUCUACCGUUUUUCCUCUGGCACUGGAGGUGGAGCAGAGAAGUGAAAUGUCAUGGGGGGGUUUGGGAGGGGAAAUAAAAUAAAUAAAAAAAGAAAACCAAAACAGGCAAAGUCUAAAUCCACCCAAAUUUGCCUCGAAACCAUUUUCCCAUCCCAUCCUGGCCGAGCGCAUACGCAGGCGAUCCCGAGCGGGGCGUGCGGGAGGGCCGGACACAUAUGCCGCGCCAUAUGGAGCGGCGCGAUGCUGGUCAAUCGGAUCUUUAGGAGUUUUAGCAUUUAAUUUCUUAAUGUGCUAACAGAGCAGAGGGAGGGAAUGGAUCACCCGUUAAGUCCAAGGAUUUAUGCUUGUAAGGGAGCGUAAUGUGUUUUCGAGCAGCCUGGAGUGGGCUUUAAAUACCCUUGGUAACCGGGAUGGGGAGCGGGCAAGAGCGUGAGCUAGAAAAGACCCUGAGGCAUCCCUUUGAGUGUUAACCCAGUGCAGGUUUAUGAUGCAGCACUCAGCCCCAGCAUGAGUGGCCUCAGAUUCAGGCUGAAAAUCCCCAUAUCCGUUUUGCAGAUAUGUUUUGCCCAGGACCGAGGGCUGUGAGUGAUGCAAGCCCUGGUCUGGGUUUGUAUCUCCAGCCACUCCCACAGUUUUCAGCGGCUCCAUGUCCUCUGUAGACAUCUCUCUUCCAUUUGAAGCUGCUAGGGAUGGGUGACUAAAUGUCUCUGGGAUCCCAGAUCCCCAGUUUCCCUACUUGUGUAAGGGGGAAUUGAACUAGGAUGAUCUUAAAGGCUUUGUGCAACCAAAACGAUUCUGUGGUUUACUACCUUACGAUUGGCAUCAGUGCUCGUGCAGAUUCCCAUAGCGCUGUGGGAUGCUCCAAAGGAAGAUGUUAGAGACAGAUAAACCACUGUUAUGUGUGCAAUCAUAUACAACCUUCAUUUUGGAGAGAUACUGAAAUUCCCACUUUCUACCUCCAACCAAAUUACCUCCCAUGAAACGCACAUCUAUUCAUUUCUAAGUCAAACAGCUCAGCUCUCUAUCAAUCUCUGAGGCACCAAACCAAGGAGGAGAUAAAUAACGUGACGCCGUGACCCCAGCCGCCAGCACAGUCCCCACCGGGCAGCUGCCGAGGCUGAUGCUCAUGUGGCUCGUGGCUCCAGCUGCGGUUUGAAGCGCGGUGGUCUCAGAGGGAUGCUCUGGCUGUUGGCUUCUGUCAGCGAGACCUUUAAAAUCUGUGCUAUAUGGCUGCUUAUUUGAAUUGCAAACAGUUUAAGGGAGGUAUAUGAGAAGUUGCUUGUUCAGAGUAAAUAGGGUUGGGGGUUGCUUUUUGUUUUUAAGCAAGUCCUUUCUCGUCAGGGUUUCUUUUUUGGGGGGGGAACUGGCAUUAUGAAAGGCUGGUAAGGAGAAUUUUGUGCUUGGGCUGGUGACCCUCCCAAAGCCAUCAAAUUUCCAGUAUCUCCUUGAAAACUCCUCUGGUUUGGUGCAUCCAAUGAUAUGUCAUUAACGUAAUGGAAACAAAAUGGUCCUGGUGUUAAACAGCACUAAGAAGAAAGGGCCACAUCUCUCAGCCCACUCAGCACGGAGGUUCUGAGCACACCGAGGGGAGGGCUCCCAAUGCUCACAGGGCUCUUGCACUUAUUC
Molecule: long non-coding RNA, 2867 nt
Organism: Pogoniulus pusillus (Red-fronted tinkerbird)
Lineage: Eukaryota; Metazoa; Chordata; Aves; Piciformes; Lybiidae
Exons: 6
Source: RefSeq, a predicted model, not a curated record